UUGGAGGGCAAGUCUGGUGCCAGCAGCCGCGGUAAUUCCAGCUCCAAUAGCGUAUAUUAAAGUUGUUGCAGUUAAAAAGCUCGUAGUUGAAUUUCGGGAUCAAUAUGUCGGUCGUGCUUCGGUACGUACUGGUAUCAUUGGUUUCUCCUUUCUGACGAACCGUGAUGUCAUUAAUUUGGUGUUAUGGGGAGUUAGGACUGUUACUUUGAAAAAAUUAGAGUGUUUAAAGCAGGCUCACGCUUGAAUACAUUAGCAUGGAAUAAUGAAAUAGGACGUUUGAUUCUAUUUUGUUGGUUUCUAGGAUCGACGUAAUGAUUAAUAGGGAUAGUUGGGGGCAUUAGUAUUCAAUUGUCAGAGGUGAAAUUCUUGGAUUUAUUGAAGACUAACUACUGCGAAAGCAUUUGCCAAGGAUGUUUUCAUUAAUCAAGAACGAAAGUUAGGGGGAUCGAAGACGAUCAGAUACCGUCGUAGUCUUAACCAUAAACUAUGCCGACUAGGGAUCGGACGAUG
Molecule: ribosomal RNA, 510 nt
Filed under: uncultured Glomeromycotina
Lineage: Eukaryota; Fungi; Glomeromycota
Description: SSU rRNA
Rfam family: Eukaryotic small subunit ribosomal RNA
Source: RNAcentral